GCAGGGACAGCAGCAACAAAGGCCAAGCUUCCCGCCUCCGGGACCUCCGUCUGGUUCCUGCAGCAGGACACUGUCUAUGUGGUCCCAUGGGAGCUGAAUGAUGGCACCCAAAGGCACGUUUGUCUCUGCUGAGCCACCGGGGAAACAGAAGGUGUGCCAGCCAGGGGGACUGAGUCCUGGGGAGACCUGGCUGACACCAGCCCAAGAGGCUGGCAGAGGCCCAAAAGCCAGAGCUGAGGGGCAGGUCCAGAAACCCUCCACCACGUGGCCACUGUGGCCCACCGACUGCAGCCACACCAACCUCCAUACCGGUUCUGGAGCACGCCAGACUCACCCGCCUCAGGACUUUCGCACUUGCUGUUCUCUUGGCUUGAGAAGUUCUUCCUCCACGUGUCUGCCUGGUCAGCUCCUUCUCUUUGUUCUGAUCUCUGUUUAUCUCAGGUCUUCCCGGAUGGUACAAUGGUAAAGAGUCUGUCUGCCAAUGCAGGAGAUGCCGGUCCAACACCUGGGUCAGGAAGAUGCCCUGGAGGAGGGCAUGGCAACCCACUCCAGUGUUCUUGCCUGGAGCAUCUCAUGGACAGAGGAGCCUGGUUAUCUCCUCAGAGAGGCCCUCCUGGACCACCCUGCUUAAGUGAUCACCUCUCUCCCCCGUUACCAUAGUGUAUGUUCCCACCUGGC
Molecule: long non-coding RNA, 678 nt
Filed under: Capra hircus (goat)
Lineage: Eukaryota; Metazoa; Chordata; Mammalia; Artiodactyla; Bovidae
Description: lncRNA (ENSCHIG00000007750.1)
Source: RNAcentral